Molecule: ribosomal RNA, 406 nt
Filed under: uncultured bacterium
Lineage: Bacteria
Description: bacterial SSU rRNA
Rfam family: Bacterial small subunit ribosomal RNA
Source: RNAcentral
UGGGGAAUAUUGCACAAUGGGGGGAACCCUGAUGCAGCAACGCCGCGUGAAGGAAGACGGUUUUCGGAUUGUAAACUUCUAUCAAUAGGGAAGAAAGAGAUGACGGUACCUAAAUAAGAAGCCCCGGCUAACUACGUGCCAGCAGCCGCGGUAAUACGUAGGGGGCAAGCGUUAUCCGGAAUUACUGGGUGUAAAGGGAGAGUAGGCGGCAUGGUAAGCAAUAUGUGAAAGCCUCGGGCUUAACCUGAGGAUUGCAUAAUGAACUAUCAAGCUAGAGUACAGGAGAGGAAAGCGGAAUUCCUAGUGUAGCGGUGAAAUGCGUAGAUAUUAGGAAGAACACCAGUGGCGAAGGCGGCUUUCUGGACUGGAAACUGACGCUGAGGCUCGAAAGCGUGGGGAGCGAACA